GGGGAAUAUUGGACAAUGGGCGAAAGCCUGAUCCAGCAAUGCCGCGUGUGUGAAGAAGGCCUUCGGGUUGUAAAGCACUUUUGUCCGGAAAGAAAUCCUCUGGGUUAAUACCUCGGGGGAUGACGGUACCGGAAGAAUAAGCACCGGCUAACUACGUGCCAGCAGCCGCGGUAAUACGUAGGGUGCAAGCGUUAAUCGGAAUUACUGGGCGUAAAGCGUGCGCAGGCGGUUUUGUAAGACGGAUGUGAAAUCCCCGGGCUUAACCUGGGAACUGCAUUCGUGACUGCAAGGCUAGAGUAUGGCAGAGGGGGGUAGAGUUCCACGUGUAGCAGUGAAAUGCGUAGAGAUGUGGAGGAAUACCGAUGGCGAAGGCAGCCCUCUGGGCCAAUACUGACGCUCAUGCACGAAAGCGUGGGGAGCAAACA
This 425-nucleotide ribosomal RNA is filed under the name uncultured bacterium. Its description in RNAcentral is "bacterial SSU rRNA". It matches the Rfam family "Bacterial small subunit ribosomal RNA", at positions 356 to 774 of the family's 1533-position model. The record is from RNAcentral.